Molecule: long non-coding RNA, 261 nt
Organism: Hibiscus syriacus
Lineage: Eukaryota; Viridiplantae; Streptophyta; Magnoliopsida; Malvales; Malvaceae
Exons: 3
Source: RefSeq, a predicted model, not a curated record
CUUAAUUUAGAGGCUCAAGUUAUUGAGAAGUCUGUUGAAGCCAAUAAGAAACCUGCAUAAAGGAAGAAACCUUCAACAACAGAACCAAACGCUAAAAAUCCGAAGAAGUUGAGAAGGGGAAAUAUCCUAAUGCACCCAAACGUCCUCCUAUUUCCUUCUUUUUGUUCAUAUAAUGACCCUUGGUUUACUGUUUCUUUUUCCUUGUGUUAAUUAAUCCCAGGGGUAGUGCUUAUAGGUUUCCCUUGUUACUUUUUUAGGGAU